GACGAACGCUGGCGGCGUGCUUAACACAUGCAAGUCGGACGGAAAGGCCUCUUUCGAGGGGUACACGAGUGGCGAACGGGUGAGUAACAGGUGAGUAACCUGCCCCUACCUCUGGGAUAACUUCAGGAAACUGGGGCUAAUACGGGGCAAAAGCACCAGCCGCCUGGAGGGGGGUGGAAAGUUUCGGCGGUUGGGGGUGGACGCGCGGCCUAUCCGUUUGUUGGUGGGGUAGUGGCUUACCUAGGCUUUGCCGGGUCGCCGGCCUGUGCGGGUGGCCGGCCACCUUGGGUCUGAGAUACGGCCCAGCCUCCUACGGGAGGGAGGAGGGGGGAAUAUUGCACAAUGGGUGGGAGCCUGAUGCAGGAACGCCGUGUGCGUGGUGACGGACGUCCGGUUGUACGCCGAUUUCGUUCAUGACGAAGCUAUGUGUGACGGUAGUGGGUAAAGAAGCACCGGCUAACUACGUG
Molecule: ribosomal RNA, 467 nt
Filed under: uncultured bacterium
Lineage: Bacteria
Description: partial 16S ribosomal RNA
Rfam family: Bacterial small subunit ribosomal RNA
Source: RNAcentral